AUUGAACGCUGGCGGCAGGCCUAACACAUGCAAGUCGAGCGAGCGGCGGACGGGUGAGUGAUGUAUGGGGACUGCCCGAUAGAGGGGGAUAACUAAUGGCAACGGUAGCUAAUUCCGCAUAUUAUCUGAGAACGCACAUGGGAUGAGCUAGUAGGUGGUGUAGUGGUUCACCUAGGCGACGAUCCCUAGCUGGUCUGAGAGGAUGCUCAGCCACACUGGGACUGUGACACGGCCCGUACUCCUCCGGAGGCAGCAGUGGGGAAUAUUGCACAAUGGGCGCAAGCCUGAUGCAGCCAUGCCGCGUGUAUGAAGAAGGCCCUAGGGUUGUAAAGUACUUUCAGUCGGGAGGCGUUACCGACAGAAGAAGCACCGGCUAACUCCGUGCCAGCAGCCGCGGUAAUAC
This 403-nucleotide ribosomal RNA is filed under the name uncultured bacterium. Its description in RNAcentral is "partial 16S ribosomal RNA". It matches the Rfam family "Bacterial small subunit ribosomal RNA", at positions 30 to 526 of the family's 1533-position model. The record is from RNAcentral.